UAUAUCUAGUGUGGAUGUUAUACGUGACCUUGGCGUACUGUUAGAAAACGCUGUACGGUUUUGUCAGCAUGUGUGCUCUAUUUCUAAUGCUUCCCUGCGUGUCCUUGGUUUCAUAUUAAGGAUCAUGAUUUCCGGGAACCCUAUUUGUGUCAUUAGGUCCCGUACAUCCUUGAUACGCAGAGUGUACCGUGUAUCAGCCCUGGAGAGGUAGCAAGCUGAGGAACACAGCAACAACCUACAAGGAAGUAAUGGGUACUGCUUGGAAAACAGCAGAAGCGUAAAGGACCGUUUUAAUUGCUGGACUCAUGACACCCUUCCGACCCCAAGGACGAUCACAUCACGCCUGGACUUUACACAACAACAAUCCCGAGGUUGACCUUCUGACGACGGCCAGGCGGAGUGAACCCCGACUGUGACGUCACGCUACACACCUCAAAAGCUUCAAGACACCUUGCUAAUUUCUUAGUCCUUUGACCAUACCUCUUAGGCACCUUUCUAAUAGUUUAAACUCGAAUAAAUGUAAGUCACCCCCUUUUUUACUUCCCCUACUUGAUUUGUUUGCCUUUCAAUCCUUCAUAACUGUAUUUACUUCGCGGCCUUCUGAACUUUUAUUC
Long non-coding RNA from Ornithodoros turicata, 614 nucleotides. RefSeq lists it as uncharacterized. The record is from RefSeq and is a predicted model, not a curated record. NCBI's taxonomy places the organism in Eukaryota, Metazoa, Arthropoda, Arachnida, Ixodida, Argasidae. The transcript has 3 exons.